RNAcentral lists this ribosomal RNA (496 nucleotides) under uncultured bacterium. RNAcentral describes it as "partial 16S ribosomal RNA". It matches the Rfam family "Bacterial small subunit ribosomal RNA", at positions 28 to 507 of the family's 1533-position model. The record is from RNAcentral.
GAUGAACGCUGGCGGCGUGCCUAAUACAUGCAAGUCGAGCGAACAGACGAGGAGCUUGCUCCUCUGACGUUAGCGGCGGACGGGUGAGUAACACGUGGAUAACCUACCUAUAAGACUGGGAUAACUUCGGGAAACCGGAGCUAAUACCGGAUAAUAUAUUGAACCGCAUGGUUCAAUAGUGAAAGACGGUUUUGCUGUCACUUAUAGAUGGAUCCGCGCCGCAUUAGCUAGUUGGUAAGGUAAGGCUUACCAAGGCGACGAUGCGUAGCCGACCUGAGAGGGUGAUCGGCCACACUGGAGCUGAGACACGGUCCAGACUCCUACGGGAGGCAGCAGUAGGGAAUCUUCCGCAAUGGGCGAAAGCCUGACGGAGCAACGCCGCGUGAGUGAUGAAGGUCUUCGGAUCGUAAAACUCUGUUAUUAGGGAAGAACAAAUGUGUAAGUAACUAUGCACGUCUUGACGGUACCUAAUCAGAAAGCCACGGCUAACUACGUG